Molecule: ribosomal RNA, 483 nt
Filed under: uncultured bacterium
Lineage: Bacteria
Description: partial 16S ribosomal RNA
Rfam family: Bacterial small subunit ribosomal RNA
Source: RNAcentral
UUGAACGCCGGCGGCAGGCCUAACACAUGCAAGUCGAGCGGAUGAAGGGAGCUUGCUCCUGGAUUCAGCGGCGGACGGGUGAGUAAUGCCUAGGAAUCUGCCUGGUAGUGGGGGAUAACGUCCGGAAACGGGCGCUAAUACCGCAUACGUCCUGAGGGAGAAAGUGGGGGAUCUUCGGACCUCACGCUAUCAGAUGAGCCUAGGUCGGAUUAGCUAGUUGGUGGGGUAAAGGCCUACCAAGGCGACGAUCCGUAACUGGUCUGAGAGGAUGAUCAGUCACACUGGAACUGAGACACGGUCCAGACUCCUACGGGAGGCAGCAGUGGGGAAUAUUGGACAAUGGGCGAAAGCCUGAUCCAGCCAUGCCGCGUGUGUGAAGAAGGUCUUCGGAUUGUAAAGCACUUUAAGUUGGGAGGAAGGGCAGUAAGUUAAUACCCUGCUGUUUUGACGUUACCAACAGAAUAAGCACCGGCUAACUUCGUG